AAAACAUAGCCUUAGGAAAUAAUAUAAGGUGAUUCCUGCUCAAUGAAGAUAUUUAAAUAGCCGCGGUACCUUGACCGUGCUAAGGUAGCAUAAUCAGUUGACUUUUAAAUGAAGUCUGGAAUGAAGGGAUAAACGGGGUUUAGCUGUCUCAGGAUAUUUAUUACGAAUUUACUAAUUAGGUGAAAAGGCCUAAAAUUGAAAAAAGACGAGAAGACCCUUAGAGUUUAAAAUUUUGUUGGGGCGACAGAGAAUCAUUAAACAUUCUUAUUUAAUGUGACGGUUUUUACAUGAAUAGAUAAACUACCUGAGGGAUAACAGCAUAAUCUUUUUAGGUUUGUGACCUCGAUGUUGGACUAGGAAGCCUAUAAGCUAGCCGCUUAUAGUGGAAAUUCUGUUCGAAUAUUUACUCCUACGUGAUCUGAG
This 423-nucleotide ribosomal RNA is filed under the name Melanochlamys sp. AZS-2018. RNAcentral's name for it is "partial 16S ribosomal RNA". It matches the Rfam family "Archaeal large subunit ribosomal RNA", at positions 1902 to 2678 of the family's 2987-position model. The record is from RNAcentral. Lineage: Eukaryota; Metazoa; Mollusca; Gastropoda; Cephalaspidea; Aglajidae.